RNAcentral lists this ribosomal RNA (497 nucleotides) under uncultured bacterium. RNAcentral's name for it is "partial 16S ribosomal RNA". It matches the Rfam family "Bacterial small subunit ribosomal RNA", at positions 28 to 507 of the family's 1533-position model. The record is from RNAcentral.
GAUGAACGCUGGCGGCGUGCCUAAUACAUGCAAGUCGAGCGAACGGACGAGAAGCUUGCUUCUCUGAUGUUAGCGGCGGACGGGUGAGUAACACGUGGAUAACCUACCUAUAAGACUGGGAUAACUUCGGGAAACCGGAGCUAAUACCGGAUGAUAUUUUGAACCGCAUGGUUCAAAAGUGAAAGACGGUCUUGCUGUCACUUAUAGAUGGAUCCGCGCUGCAUUAGCUAGUUGGUAAGGUAACGGCUUACCAAGGCAACGAUCCAUAGCCGACCUGAGAGGGUGAUCGGCCACACUGGAACUGGGACACGGUCCAGACUCCUACGGGAGGCAGCAGUAGGGAAUCUUCCGCAAUGGGCGAAAGCCUGACGGAGCAACGCCGCGUGAGUGAUGAAGGUCUUCGGAUCGUAAAACUCUGUUAUUAGGGAAGAACAUAUGUGUAAGUAACUGUGCACAUCUUGACGGUACCUAAUCAGAAAGCCACGGCUAACUACGUG